Molecule: ribosomal RNA, 499 nt
Filed under: uncultured bacterium
Lineage: Bacteria
Description: partial 16S ribosomal RNA
Rfam family: Bacterial small subunit ribosomal RNA
Source: RNAcentral
ACUCAAAUGAAUUGACGGGAGCCCGCACAAGCGGUGGAUUAUGUGGUUUAAUUCGAAGCAACGCGCAGAACCUUACCUAGGUUUGACAUCCUUUGACAACUGCAGAGAUGUAGCUUUCGUAGCAAUACGACAAAGAGACAGGUGCUGCAUGGCUGUCGUCAGCUCGUGUGGUGGCAUGUCGGGUUAAGUCCCUCAACGAGCGCAACCCCUGUUUUUAGUUGCCAGCAUUAAGUUGGGCACUCUAGAAAGACUGCCGUGGUUAACACGGAGGAAGGCGGGGAUGACGUCAAGUCCUCAUGGCCCUUACACCUAGGGCGACACACGUAAUACAAUGGUCGAUACAGAGGGACGCGAACCCGCAAGGGGGAGCAAAUCUCAAAAAGUCGAUCUCAGUUCGGAUUGGAGUCUGCAACUCGACUCCAUGAAGGCGGAAUCGCUAGUAAUCGCGGAUCAGCACGCCGCGGUGAAUACGUUCCCGGGCUUUGCACACACCGCCCGU